Molecule: ribosomal RNA, 468 nt
Filed under: uncultured bacterium
Lineage: Bacteria
Description: partial 16S ribosomal RNA
Rfam family: Bacterial small subunit ribosomal RNA
Source: RNAcentral
GACGAACGCUGGCGGCGUGCUUAACACAUGCAAGUCGAACGGAAAGGCCCUGCUUUUGUGGGGUGCUCGAGUGGCGAACGGGUGAGUAACACGUGAGUAACCUGCCCUUGACUUUGGGAUAACUUCAGGAAACUGGGGCUCAUACCGGAUAGGAGCUCCUGCUGCAUGGUGGGGGUUGGUAAUUUUCGGCGGUUGGGGAUGUACUCGCUGGUUAUCAUCUUUUUGGUGGGGUAGUGGCUUACCAAGGUUUUGACGGGUAGCGGGGCUGGGAGGGUGACCGGGCACAAUGGGACUGAGAUAAGGCACAGACGAGAACGGGAGGCAGGAGAGGGGAAGAGAGCACAAUGGGAGGAAGCAAGAUGAAGAAACGCAGGGUGGGGGAAGAGGGGCAUGGGGUAGUAAAGCGAAGAAGCCUGAGACGAAGAGAGAGUGACGGUAAUGGGUAAAGAAGCACCGGCUAACUACGUG